CCAGUGUCUAACGGUUCAUUUAAAAUAUGGAUAUUUUUGUACAAAGAUAAUUUGCCUUUAGAGUGUACAGUCAUACAGCGUGGGCUUCUGAGCUACUAACUAAUGGGUAUCUGUUAUUGUCAUUUGUAUUUCUGAUCUCUAGAGUGGUAUGGAUAAAGAAGGUCAAAAUGGUCUCUGAUGAAAAGAAACUUUUAAAAUGCUUGGAAAAGUUAAUGAAUUAGAUUUCCCUGCACUUGAAGAUAUUAGGAUUGGGAGAUCAAGACUCCCAUCAGCCAAAUCAAGAAUAUUCACAGUUGACAGGAAAACUCAAAGUUUCUUUUUCCCCACCAGAGAAAUGUCUCCCACCACCAUAGCUAAACAGUGAAAUCCGAAGUGGGUAGAGCGUGCCUUUUUUUUUCCUUUGAGGCAAGUUUUCGAAUCGUGCUCUGGAGGUGAAAAAGAAAUGAUUUCAGAAUAGUGAACAUUUGCAAAUAAAAAUGUGUCUACUAUGCAAUGAAGAAUUUUAAAUUUGCAGUGAAAGUCUGACAUCUGGUGGUCAGAAAGAGGAGCAUCAGAAGAGGAGGCUAUUGUAAAAUUUCUGUUGGCUUUCAUAAAAUAAAAACCAAAUUAAAACGUACAAGAAAUUCUUCC
RNAcentral lists this long non-coding RNA (630 nucleotides) under Pan troglodytes (chimpanzee). Its description in RNAcentral is "lncRNA (ENSPTRG00000053816.1)". Lineage: Eukaryota; Metazoa; Chordata; Mammalia; Primates; Hominidae. The record is from RNAcentral.